RNAcentral lists this unclassified non-coding RNA (253 nucleotides) under uncultured Halomonadaceae bacterium. RNAcentral's name for it is "contains 16S-23S intergenic spacer region". It matches the Rfam family "Bacterial small subunit ribosomal RNA", at positions 524 to 776 of the family's 1533-position model. Lineage: Bacteria; Pseudomonadati; Pseudomonadota; Gammaproteobacteria; Oceanospirillales; Halomonadaceae. The record is from RNAcentral.
UACGGAGGGUGCGAGCGUUAAUCGGAAUUACUGGGCGUAAAGCGCGCGUAGGCGGCGUGUUAAGCCAGAUGUGAAAGCCCCGGGCUCAACCUGGGAAUGGCAUCCGGAACUGUCAGGCUAGAGUGCAGGAGAGGAAGGUAGAAUUCCCGGUGUAGCGGUUAAAUGCGUAGAGAUCGGGAGGAAUACCAGUGGCGAAGGCGGCCUUCUGGACUGACACUGACGCUGAGGUGCGAAAGCGUGGGUAGCGAACAGG